AACGAACGCUGGCGGCAUGCCUAACACAUGCAAGUCGAGCGCCCGUAGCAAUACGGGAGCGGCGCACGGGUGAGUAACGCGUGGGAACCUGCCCAGAGGUCUGGGACAACCGCGGGAAACUGCGGCUGAUACCGGAUGAUUCCUGAGGGACAAAGAUUUAUCGCCUUUGGAGGGGCCCGCGUCGGAUUAGGUAGUUGGUGGGGUAACGGCUCACCAAGCCUAUGAUCCGUAAACUGGUCUGAGAGGAUGACCAGUCACACUGGGACUGAGACACGGCCCAGACUCCUACGGGAGGCAGCAGUGGGAGUAUUGGACAAUGGGGGCAACCCUGAUCCAGCAAUGCCGCGUGGGUGAUGAAGGCCUUCGGGUUG
RNAcentral lists this ribosomal RNA (371 nucleotides) under uncultured bacterium. RNAcentral's name for it is "bacterial SSU rRNA". It matches the Rfam family "Bacterial small subunit ribosomal RNA", at positions 29 to 425 of the family's 1533-position model. The record is from RNAcentral.